CUCGAUACUGACACUGAGGUGCGAAAGCGUGGGGAGCAAACGGGAUUAGAUACCCCGGUAGUCCACGCCGUAAACGAUGUCUACUAGCCGUUGGAGGACUUGAUCCUUUAGUGGCGCAGCUAACGCGAUAAGUAGACCGCCUGGGGAGUACGGUCGCAAGAUUAAAACUCAAAUGAAUUGACGGGGGCCCGCACAAGCGGUGGAGCAUGUGGUUUAAUUCGAAGCAACGCGAAGAACCUUACCUACUCUUGACAUCCAGUGAACUUUUGAGAGAUCAAUUGGUGCCUUCGGGAACACUGAGACAGGUGCUGCAUGGCUGUCGUCAGCUCGUGUUGUGAAAUGUUGGGUUAAGUCCCGUAACGAGCGCAACCCUUGUCCUUAGUUACCAUCAUUAAGUUGGGGACUCUAAGGAGACUGCCGGUGACAAACCGGAGGAAGGCGGGGACGACGUCAAGUCAUCAUGGCCCUUACGAGUAGGGCUACACACGUGCUACAAUGGCAUGUACAAAGGGUUGCCAAGCCGCGAGGUGGAGCUAAUCCCAUAAAGCAUGUCGUAGUCCGGAUUGGAGUCUGCAACUCGACUCCAUGAAGUCGGAAUCGCUAGUAAUCGUGAAUCAGAAUGUCACGGUGAAUACGUUCCCGGGCCUUGUACACACCGCCCGUCACACCAUGGGAGUGGGUUGCUCCAGAAGCAGAUAGCUUAACCUUCGGGAGGGCGUUUACCACGGAGUGAUUCAUGACUGGGGUGAAGUCGUAACAAGGUAACCGUA
RNAcentral lists this ribosomal RNA (770 nucleotides) under uncultured bacterium. RNAcentral's name for it is "bacterial SSU rRNA". It matches the Rfam family "Bacterial small subunit ribosomal RNA", at positions 733 to 1504 of the family's 1533-position model. The record is from RNAcentral.